This 21-nucleotide non-coding RNA is filed under the name Caenorhabditis elegans. The record is from RNAcentral. Lineage: Eukaryota; Metazoa; Nematoda; Chromadorea; Rhabditida; Rhabditidae.
UGGAUUGAAUGCUUCAGAAUU